GACGUUACGCACGUUAUUGCGUCAAUACCGUGUAAUCAACCAGUCCACACUAAUAAACAGCUUUUCUAUAAAAUCAUAACAGUUAAGUUAUAUAAAACUUAUAUCCAUAGACUAGACAGGUAAAUACUAUUCCGAAAAAAAGUACAAAUUGUUUUAUCAUAUUUUACUUUAGUCUAAAAUAAGGACAACAUAUUGACAAAACGUCAAAAAUAUGCGUGUCAGACGUAACAGACUAUACGCAUAAUCACUUUAGCAGGGGUGUUUGUGUUCUUCAAAAUAGUGUUAUAUCCACGAAAAUUCGAAUGAAUGAUAUGCUUUCAUAUAUAAAGUAUAACAAUAUUACUGGAUAUGUGUUUCUGAUACGACCAACGCUAUUUUUUGGCAAAAACAAAUAGUGUUCAUAUUGGUCAGAUUUUGGAAGAUGUUAAGUUAUCAAAAUUUAUAGGUUUUAAAAUAUAAGAUUAUAUGAUAUUUCGUUUGUGUAAAUUCGGCUCACAUAUGUGCAUACAUAGACCAUAUCAAAAUCGAAUUUUUGGAGCACUCACACUACAUAUAAAAAUGCAACGGCUUCUGGCAAAUGUCUUGCAAGAUGUCCAAUGUCGGAUUUCGCCGUUUUUUACAAAUAAAUUGUCAUUUGCGACGUUAUUUAUUAAAAAUUUAGAUUAGUUGCAUGCUAAAUAGUCCUUUUCCGUAAUUGUGCUUUAACUUUACAAAACAGCUACAUACUUUUUGAUAACUUGCGUAGUCAAAACGACUUCGUUUUCAAAGAAAUGAAAUGUCUUGCAAGUUUGUCCACUGGACGAUUUUCGUACGUUUUCAACGUUGUCGAUUCGGGGUACGCUAUUUAUGGUGGAUCAUCUGUAUAUAGUUCCUCAGAUAGAAUUUUCUUGAUAGUCAGAUACUAUCAACAAGACCACAAAGCAUCAUAAAAAAAAAUCCGAUGACUGGGUUUGUUCGUUUAGAUGAGGUUCUUAAGUUGUGAAAAAGUUUUGUAUCACAAGAGGAUAACAAAUCAUCUUUAUCAAAUUUUCAAAUUUGGGAAGCGUAAACUGACUGCGAUUUUUUUUUUUAUUUCUCUGCAAUAAGAUUCAUGUGUAUAGAAUUGAAAGUGAAAAUAAAAUUGGGCCUAAAGCGUGGCUAUAUACCUCUCCACAUCAUACAAAGCUUGUAAACAUAUGAGAUGAAUUAUAAUUAACCUUUUUUUUCUGACAAUCGUUUCAUUUCAUAAUCUAAUAUUGUACCGCUAUUAAAGAAAGUAUAGUGAAUUUUAUAAGCAAGACCCGUUUAACUUGUUAUUCUCGACAAACUUUUUAUAUUAAAGCAAAAUAUAUAUCCUCCUCCUUUUCGGAUCUAAAUGGGAAAACAUUGCACUUUAAUACGUUUUAUGUCAAUUGAUCUCUGGUAGAGAGUUGUCUCAUUGGCACUCAUCAUACCGUAUAUAUCUUCUCAUUUCAUAAAGAUAUGCAUUACCCAAAUACGAUAUAUUUUGUUGUUUGUUGCUUACGUUACCUUCAUUGGGAAAUAUUCAAUGCAUAUUCAGUACAACAAAACAUUAUAAGAAGUAUCCAUAUUGAUGUGCAAAACAAAAAUUGCAAGCGAAAUACAAAACUUAUCCCAAAUAAUCGGUAAUCGCCGUAAAACGUAAAAAUUUGACGUUACCAUUUGAGACGCAAUAUCGUGCUUAACGUCUAU
RNAcentral lists this long non-coding RNA (1692 nucleotides) under Mytilus galloprovincialis (Mediterranean mussel). The record is from RNAcentral. Lineage: Eukaryota; Metazoa; Mollusca; Bivalvia; Mytilida; Mytilidae.